This 399-nucleotide ribosomal RNA is filed under the name uncultured bacterium. RNAcentral describes it as "bacterial SSU rRNA". It matches the Rfam family "Bacterial small subunit ribosomal RNA", at positions 358 to 774 of the family's 1533-position model. The record is from RNAcentral.
GGAAUAUUGCACAAUGGGGGGAACCCUGAUGCAGCGACGCCGCGUGGAGGAAGAAGGUAUUCGUAUUGUAAACUCCUGUCGUGUGGGACGAAGAAUGACGGUACCACACAAGAAAGCACCGGCUAACUACGUGCCAGCAGCCGCGGUAAAACGUAGGGUGCGAGCGUUGUCCGGAAUUACUGGGUGUAAAGGGAGCGCAGGCGGUCAUUUAAGUUGGGUGUCAAAACUACGGGCUCAACCCGUACCCGCACUCAAAACUGAGUGACUUGAGUGGAGCAGAGGUAGGCGGAAUUUCCGGUGUAGCGGUGGAAUGCGUAGAUAUCGGAAGGAACACCAGUGGCGAAGGCGGCCUACUGGGCUUUAACUGACGCUGAGGCUCGAAAGCAUGGGUAGCAAACA